CAGCAACUACUGUUUUUCCUGAACCUACAUCACCUUGAAGUAAUCGAUGCAUACGUAUUGGUGCUUUUAAAUCUCUAAAAAUUUCAUUAACACUGGAUUUCUGUGCUUCAGUUAGUUCAAAAGGUAAACAAUCAAUAAAUGAU
This 143-nucleotide small RNA is filed under the name Staphylococcus aureus. RNAcentral describes it as "HMPRFS0000_1293". Lineage: Bacteria; Bacillati; Bacillota; Bacilli; Caryophanales; Staphylococcaceae. The record is from RNAcentral.